This 235-nucleotide ribosomal RNA is filed under the name uncultured bacterium. RNAcentral's name for it is "partial 16S ribosomal RNA". It matches the Rfam family "Bacterial small subunit ribosomal RNA", at positions 118 to 347 of the family's 1533-position model. The record is from RNAcentral.
UGAGGAACAUGACCUUCGGCGGGGGAUAGCCGGCCCAACGGCCGGGUAAUACCGCGUACGACCAUUUGGGGACAUCCCCGAGUGGUGAAAGCAGCAAUGCGCCGAUGGAGUGCCUCGCGGCCUAUCAGCUAGUUGGUGAGGUAACGGCUCACCAAGGCGACGACGGGUAGCUGGUCUGAGAGGAUGGCCAGCCACAUUGGGACUGAGACACGGCCCAGACUCCGUACGGGAGCAG